This 378-nucleotide ribosomal RNA is filed under the name uncultured organism. RNAcentral's name for it is "partial 16S ribosomal RNA". It matches the Rfam family "Bacterial small subunit ribosomal RNA", at positions 527 to 896 of the family's 1533-position model. The record is from RNAcentral.
GUAGGUGGCAAGCGUUAUCCGGAAUUAUUGGGCGUAAAGCGCGCGUAGGCGGUUUUUUAAGUCUGAUGUGAAAGCCCACGGCUCAACUGUGGAGGGUCAUUGGGAACUGGAAAACUUGAGUGCAGAAGAGGAAAGUGGAAUUCCAUGUGUAGCGGUGAAAUGCGCAGAGAUAUGGAGGAACACCAGUGGCGAAGGCGACUUUCUGGUCUGUAACUGACGCUGAUGUGCGAAAGCGUGGGGGGGAUCAAACAGGAUUAGAUACCCUGGUAGUCCACGCCGUAAACGAUGAGUGCUAAGUGUUAGGGGGUUUCCGCCCCCCCCUUAGUGCUGCAGCUAACGCAUUAAGCACUCCGCCUGGGGAGUACGACCGCAAGGUUG